AUGUUUCCCCCUGUACCUCAGAAUACUAGGUUUCACACUUUUGUCUAUACCAUGACGGGACUUAAACUAACAUGGCCCUACUCUUCCUCCAGGUUCUCCUUUCAGCAGAAGCACUUACGGACCCUGCAGUGGUCCCUCACUCCUGAGAACACGGGGUUUCUACGUCUGCCUCAGCAGUUUUCUAGCCGCCACAUCACAGCUACAGCAACCACAGUAAAACCCCAGGUGAGGAAGUUUCCCAAUAAACUCUGGAAAACAAACAUGGAAGAGAAAUCUCAUUGCUGUUUUACAAAAGUUUUUGUGAAGUGUUGUAAAGCACCUGGAACAUUCCCAAGCAAACCACUCUGCCUGGCUAUGGCUAUGUGUGGGCUUCACAGGGUUGGGGCGCUUUUAAAGUCCUCCUGGGGGGCCUGGGGGGCUCAGUCGGUUAUGCAUCUGACUCUUCAGUUCAGGUCGUGCUCUCACAGUUCCUGGGACUGGGCCCCACAUCAGGCUGUGCACUGAGAGUGCAGAAAUCUGCUUGGGACUCUCUCUCCCCCUCUUUGUCCCUCCCUAGCUCUCUCUCAAAAUAAAGACUUGAAGAAAAAAAAAAAAAAAGGAACGACUCCCAUCUCUCCUAUAUCUCCAGAAAUUACAAGAUUUUUAAAUCUCUUUUCCAGGAAUCUGGGACAAAAAAACAAACAAAAAA
RNAcentral lists this long non-coding RNA (688 nucleotides) under Suricata suricatta (meerkat). RNAcentral's name for it is "lncRNA (ENSSSUG00005020704.1)". Lineage: Eukaryota; Metazoa; Chordata; Mammalia; Carnivora; Herpestidae. The record is from RNAcentral.